ACUGUGUAGGGAACUGAGCAUUCGAUUAAUCCUUGAUUGUUGCAUUGGUUUAGAAUACGCAUAACCAAGUUUGUUUUGUUUUUCAUAUUGUUGAAAGCUGAUCUAUUAUGGCUAUUGAAAACACCAGGGAUCUCGGAGUGGUGAUGCAGAAAGCUCGAGCCGCCUUCGCAUCGGGAAAAACCCGCGAUGUAAGUUUUCGAGUUCGACAAUUGGAGAACCUUCUUCGCAUGUACGAAGAGAAUGAAGCGGAUUUGAUGAACGCCCUGUAUAAAGAUCUUCGCAAACCGAAACCUGAAGCGAAACUGAUGGAAAUAGAAGUUCUCAAGUCUGAUGUUCGAACCAUGAUUCAAAACUGCAAGGAAUGGUCGAAACCUCAGAGGGUCCCUAAAACUCUUGUUACCAUGAUGGACACUCCUGUUAUACUCCAAGAUCCAUACGGAGUUGUUUUAGUUAUCGGAUCUUGGAAUUAUCCUGUUCAGCUUUCGCUGAUUCCUGUUUCGGGAGCAAUUGCUGCUGGAAAUUGUGUCAUUAUUAAACCUUCAGAAAUUGCUCCUGCCUCGUCCAAAUUGCUUGAAGAGUUAAUUCCGCGUUAUUUGGAUUCAGAAUGUUUCCAAGUCGUAACUGGAGGGCCUUCUACCGUCCAAGAACUGCUGAAGCAGAAGUUUGAUUACAUUUUCUUCACGGGAUCAACCAACAUUGGCAAACUUGUCCGUGAAGCCGCCAACAAACACCUAACACCAGUUACCUUGGAACUCGGGGGCAAGAGCCCUGUGUACGUUGACGAAUCUGUUGACAUGACCAUCGCAGCACGCCGUAUCAUCUGGGGCAAAAUGGUGAACUGUGGGCAAACUUGUAUAGCGCCUGAUUACGUCCUGUGUAACAAAUCUACACGGGAUCGCUUGAUUGAUAAAAUCCGAGAAAUUUUGAUCGAGUGGUAUGGGGAGGACCCGCAAAGUUCCCCUGACCUAUGUCGAAUCGUCAAUGUUCGCCAUUUCCAGCGACUACAGGCAAUGCUAGGCGGCAGUAAGAUAGCAAUCGGAGGCAAAGUUGACGCUGAUGACCUAUGGAUCGAACCAACUGUUUUGAUCGAUGUAAAGCCCACCGAUCCCGUAAUGCAAGAAGAAAUAUUUGGGCCGAUUCUACCCAUAUUAGAAGUAGAAAGUGCCUAUGAUGCGAUUCAAUUCAUCAAUGCACGGGAGAAGCCGCUUAGCAUGUACAUCUUUUCUAAAAACAAGAAACUAAUUGAUCUUAUCUCGGGAAAUACUAGCUGUGGUUCGAUUUGUGUCAACGACACUCUGCUGCAGUUUUCAGUGGAAGAAUUGCCGUUUGGGGGUGUUGGUGCCAGCGGUAUCGGAGCGUACCAUGGGAAAUACAGCUUCGAUACCUUCACACACAAAAAAUCUUGCCUGAUUCGGAGUUUUGAUAAGAUGGGAGAGGCACUUGGAAAAGAUCGGUAUCCUCCCUAUACAGAUGAAAAAAUCCGUCGCUUGAUUUUUCUACUUAAGAAACGACAACUUCCCAGUUUUGGCUUUGUUCCUUACGUAGCCAGCUUUGCCUUAGGCGUGGCUUCAGUGAUCCUUCUACGCUACGUUGCCAAGCUAUGGUCAAGCUCCCAUCUCCACAAAAUGGUUCGCAAAAUCCAGCACUGAGACGGUAAUCACUAUUGCCACCCACUGCCUAUCCCAACUUGUCAUAUCAAUUCAGUCUAUACGCUACGGCAACUUUGUAACGUUUAAUCUCCAAUGCCGUCAUUACUACCUGUAGUCUAGUCAAUCUUUCCGUUGGUGAAUGCAGCUCCUUUGGUAAUUAAUCAAGGAAUUAGGUUACGAGGAGAAGCUGUCCGAAGUUAUGGGCUAAACCCAGCGGAUGUAAAUGGCUACCUUUAGAAUGCUACAAGACUGCAUGGCUCUUCCAUAUCCUCCUAUAUAAAAUUUGUACGAUUCCAUGGAGUCCUUUUGUCGGCAUAACUAGUUUUCGUUUAAUUGGGAAUACAAUACUUAACACAA
Molecule: unclassified non-coding RNA, 2006 nt
Filed under: Daphnia magna
Lineage: Eukaryota; Metazoa; Arthropoda; Branchiopoda; Diplostraca; Daphniidae
Description: aldehyde dehydrogenase family 3 member B1, transcript variant X5
Source: RNAcentral